Molecule: long non-coding RNA, 285 nt
Filed under: Phoenix dactylifera (date palm)
Lineage: Eukaryota; Viridiplantae; Streptophyta; Magnoliopsida; Arecales; Arecaceae
Description: long non-coding RNA (PDAC_LNC020993)
Source: RNAcentral
GUCUCCACCUCUUCUUUACUUUCUUUACACCCUAAUUCCCCUCUGGGAAUUCCUUGUAAUCACACGAGCACGCCGUUGUAACCAGAAAUUAUUGAAAUGAAAAGUGUUAUACAUUUUUGAACUGUCUUUCUGGCAUUGUCGUUCUACUGGUAAUACAUCCGCAGGUUAGCGGAAUUCCAGCUCCUUGGAAUUUCUCGACCAUCUAGGGCCUCUAACUGGUAGGAGCCAGGUCGGUUUACCCAGCGAACCCUAUACGGGCCUUCCCAAUUUGGCGCUAGCUUCCCA